GGGGCGGGGCCUCGGCCGGCGGUUCGCGUUCUGGGUAGCCGCCGGGCGCUGCACCGAAGGAAGUGCCGAGGAGGCCGGGGGGAGUGGAACCGAGGGAGAUGUGGCCGGCGCUGUUUGGCUGUGUCGUGUGGGGGAUUUCCGCAUUCACCUGGGACCCCGGACGGAUGCCGCAGGCGCGACUGCUGGGCCCGCCUCCACCAGAAUUACUUUCCGGAAAACUGCCCGGAGGUCCUGGUUCCCCCGGCUCGGUGGCGGGGUGGCGCCGCCUGUCGUCACGUCGGCUGGGGAGGGCCAGCUCCGCCACGCAGCCAGAUCCCGCCCGUCUCAGAAAAAAGUCCGGGCUGGGGCCCGGCGCGGUGGCCACGCCUGCCAUCCCCGCAGCUUGGGAGGCCGAGACCGGAGGAUCGCACGUUCAAAGCCAGCCUCAGCAAUGGAGGGCACGAAGCAACUGACUGACCCGUUCAUCCGUGUGGAAUUCGGAAGACACAGAAGCAGUUCCACCUCCCCUCCUUCAUCCCCCAGAGGGGACUACUCUUGCCCCUUCUGGUGGGUCCUGGCUGAGCCAAGCACUUAGUCUUCCUGAUCCAGCCUUGACAGCGGAGCAGUUUUAAUUCCUCAUCCCUGCCUCUUCCCGUCUAGCCCCUCUCUCCUGCCCGCUGUUGGGACCUUGGAACCGCGGCCAUUAUUGGGUGUUGGCUGAGGCRGCCUCAGGGGUCAGCAUUUCCAUAUGCGUGACCUGGCUGGAMUGGCGGGCGCUGUCUUUUGACUUUAGUCCCAACUAAUGGUUUAAUCUGAAAUCUGCCUAGGCCCCUUAGUGACAGUGCCGGAACUGCUCCUUAUUGGUUUUUGCUACUGUCUCUUCUUACUCCUUCUAUCACUACGUAACCUUGUCCCUGACACAAUAAAGUUGGGAUUGUUGCACCUUCA
Long non-coding RNA from Urocitellus parryii (Arctic ground squirrel), 927 nucleotides. RefSeq lists it as uncharacterized. NCBI's taxonomy places the organism in Eukaryota, Metazoa, Chordata, Mammalia, Rodentia, Sciuridae. The record is from RefSeq and is a predicted model, not a curated record.